RNAcentral lists this ribosomal RNA (442 nucleotides) under uncultured bacterium. RNAcentral's name for it is "partial 16S ribosomal RNA". It matches the Rfam family "Bacterial small subunit ribosomal RNA", at positions 338 to 795 of the family's 1533-position model. The record is from RNAcentral.
CCUACGGGAGGCAGCAGUGGGGGAUAUUGCACAAUGGGGGGAACCCUGAUGCAGCGACGCCGCGUGGGUGAAGGAGUGCUUCGGCAUGUAAAGCCCUAUCGGCAGGGAAGAAGCAAGACGGUACCUGACUAAGAAGCCCCGGCUAACUACGUGCAGGCAGCCGCGGUAAUACGUAGGGGGCGAGCGUUAUCCGGAUUCACUGGGUGGAAAGGGAGCGUAGACGGCCAUGCAAGCCAGGGGUGAAAUCCCGGGGCCCAACCCCGGGACUGCCCUUGGAACUGCAGGGCUGGAGUGCGGGAGGGGCAGGCGGAAUUCCGGGGGUAGCGGUGAAAUGCGUAGAUAUCAGGAGGAACACCGGCGGCGAAGGCGGCCUGCUGGACCGCGACUGACGUUGAGGCUCGAAAGCGUGGGGGAGCGAACAGGAUUAGAUACCCCUGUAGUC